RNAcentral lists this ribosomal RNA (467 nucleotides) under uncultured bacterium. Its description in RNAcentral is "partial 16S ribosomal RNA". It matches the Rfam family "Bacterial small subunit ribosomal RNA", at positions 30 to 507 of the family's 1533-position model. The record is from RNAcentral.
AGUGAACGCUGGCGGUAGGCCUAACACAUGCAAGUCGAACGGCAGCACAGUAAGAGCUUGCUCUUACGGGUGGCGAGUGGCGGACGGGUGAGGAAUACAUCGGAAUCUACUUUUUCGUGGGGGAUAACGUAGGGAAACUUACGCUAAUACCGCAUACGACCUACGGGUGAAAGCAGGGGAUCUUCGGACCUUGCGCGAUUGAAUGAGCCGAUGUCGGAUUAGCUAGUUGGCGGGGUAAAGGCCCACCAAGGCGACGAUCCGUAGCUGGUCUGAGAGGAUGAGAAGCGACACUGGGAGUGAGAGACGUCGCAGAGUCGUACGGGAGGCCGAGGUGGUGAAUAGUGGAAAAGGGGAGAAAGAAAGACCCAGCACUGCCGCGGGAGUGAUGAAGGAAUAAGGGUGGUAAAGCUCGUUUACCCGGGAUGAUAAUGACAGUACCGGGAGAAUAAGAUACGGCUAACUUCGGG